UACGGAGGGUGCAAGCGUUACUCGGAAUUACUGGGCGUAAAGCGUGCGUAGGUGGUUCGUUAAGUCUGUCGUGAAAGCCCCGGGCUCAACCUGGGAAUGGCGAUGGAUACUGGCGAGCUAGAGUGCGGUAGAGGAGAGUGGAAUUCCCGGUGUAGCAGUGAAAUGCGUAGAGAUCGGGAGGAACAUCAGUUGCGAAGGCGGCUCUCUGGACCAGCACUGACACUGAGGCACGAAAGCGUGGGGAGCAAACAGG
Molecule: ribosomal RNA, 253 nt
Filed under: uncultured bacterium
Lineage: Bacteria
Description: partial 16S ribosomal RNA
Rfam family: Bacterial small subunit ribosomal RNA
Source: RNAcentral